CAGGAGGUAGUUUAAUGAUAAAAUUUUGGUUUUGGAGACCAGUGAAAUAGAUAAUCUUUCU
RNAcentral lists this transfer RNA (61 nucleotides) under Sinomastax longicornea. RNAcentral's name for it is "tRNA-Pro". The record is from RNAcentral. Lineage: Eukaryota; Metazoa; Arthropoda; Insecta; Orthoptera; Eumastacidae.